RNAcentral lists this ribosomal RNA (466 nucleotides) under uncultured bacterium. RNAcentral describes it as "partial 16S ribosomal RNA". It matches the Rfam family "Bacterial small subunit ribosomal RNA", at positions 28 to 505 of the family's 1533-position model. The record is from RNAcentral.
GACGAACGCUGGCGGCGUGCUUAACACAUGCAAGUCGAACGGAAAGGCCCUGCUUUUGUGGGGUGCUCGAGUGGCGAACGGGUGAGUAACACGUGAGUAACCUGCCCUUGACUUUGGGAUAACUUCAGGAAACUGGGGCUAAUACCGGAUAGGAGCUCCUGCUGCAUGGUGGGGGUUGGAAAGUUUCGGCGGUUGGGGAUGGACUCGCGGCUUAUCAGCUUGUUGGUGGGGUAGUGGCUUACCAAGGCUUUGACGGGUAGCCGGCCUGAGAGGGUGACCGGCCACAUGGGGACUGAGAUGCGGCCGAGACUCCUACGGGAGGCAGCAGUGGGGAAUAGUGCACAAUGGGCGGAAGCCUGAUGCAGCAGCGCCGCGUGCGGGAUGACGGCCUUCGGGUUGUAAACCGCUUUCGCCUGUGGCGAAGCGUGAGAGACGGUAAGGGGUAAAGAAGCACCGGCUAACUGCG